AUCUGAAGUACAUGCAGUCCACACUGUGCAGUCAUGAGGCGGGCACAGUUGCCAUGACAACCCAUAUGAGGAACGGGGUAGCUGAGGAGGUGGAACGUUUCGCCCAGCUGCCGCUGCAUCUGUUACGCCUCGCCUCAUUGGACAGAAUCUGAAGUACAUGCAGUCCACACUGUGCAGUCAUGAGGCGGGCACAGUUGCCAUGGCAACCCACAUGAGGAAUGGGGUAGCUGAGGAGGUGGAACGUUUCGCCCAGCUGCCGCUGCAUCUGUUACGCCUCACUUCAUUGGGCAGGCUCCAGAGAAUCUACUGCCGUGCGACGUCCAGCUGAAAUGUGAAAUAGCAGCGGUGCAGACGUUACUAGACUCACAGCAUCUACUCCAUGCUUCCAUGGCAGAGACCCACACCGAUGACCUGACCGCCAUCCAGCAUGUAUCAGGUGGGAGCAGCCAGCACAGCUUCUCACUCCUUGGGUCAAGCUGGACGACCUCGCACUGCAACAGUGGCUGGAUAAAUGGACGGUGGCCGUGACUAGACUGAGGCAGUUGGGUGUCUAGUCGCUUCAUGUCGGCACCGGACUGUCAAUACCAGAAUGUGGUUGUUUGCGUGAACGUGGAACCAGACUACGGCUUUUUCCAAACUAGGAUUUUUGCGGAUAUGGCUUUGGCAAGCUACAUACAUGUACAUGUAAAUGAGACAUGUAGGUUUGCAUGGCGGACAUGAACAAAGAACAGAAGGUUUUUUGUAACACCAUGUGAAUAAUAUCACUUUUGACUUGAACCAGUUGUUUAACUGAUAGUUUCAAACAGUGUGCUCUGCUUGAUGUCUCAUGAUGAUGAUACCCAAGAACUACCCAUAUAGGCGAGCGGCGGAAUCCACAUUUUGGUCGACUUAAUUGCCCCCCCACCCUACACACACCUACAUCAUACAUCGUUAGAAGCUUAAUAUUUUUACUUUCAGAUUAGGCAUGAUGUGGAGCUGCUUAAGUGGGAGGAAUGUGUUAUUGGCUCAUUUUGGUCUAAAAGUCAAAUUUUUGGUCAAAAAUAUGAUUUUACAAAUUUGGUAUUAAGUUUUAAACCAAAUUGACGUUCCAUAAAUUCACAGUUACCAAAUUAAUAUUACUAAAUGUACAGUAACCAUUUGCAAUAUUGAGUGAAAAUGUGUAUAUUUCUCAAAAUUGUGCUUCGAAGAGCAACACUAAGGUAAAAUAUUUGGUUUUUGUCAAUUGCCCAACACCACACACACCUACAUCAUACAUCAUUAAUAUGUCUACUUUAAGACUAGGCAAAAGUCUCCUUUUUGCUCAUCGCGGUGUAGAGGAUGCUUUAAUGACAUUACUACACAGAAUAUAUUGUAGCACAAUGCAUUUUAUAGAGGGCGCGCUUUAGUUCUUUACUGGUAGCCAGCAAGGUGCGCGUGCACUCACCCAGGUUUAUGGGGACAUUGGCCAAUAGGCUAGUCUGGUUCCCAGACCAAAAGAU
Long non-coding RNA from Patiria miniata (bat star), 1478 nucleotides. RefSeq lists it as uncharacterized. The transcript has 4 exons. The record is from RefSeq and is a predicted model, not a curated record. NCBI's taxonomy places the organism in Eukaryota, Metazoa, Echinodermata, Asteroidea, Valvatida, Asterinidae.